RNAcentral lists this ribosomal RNA (486 nucleotides) under uncultured bacterium. RNAcentral's name for it is "partial 16S ribosomal RNA". It matches the Rfam family "Bacterial small subunit ribosomal RNA", at positions 30 to 507 of the family's 1533-position model. The record is from RNAcentral.
AUUGAACGCUGGCGGCAUGCCUUACACAUGCAAGUCGAACGGCAGCACGGGUGCUUGCACCUGGUGGCGAGUGGCGAACGGGUGAGUAAUACAUCGGAACAUGCCCUGUAGUGGGGGAUAGCCCGGCGAAAGCCGGAUUAAUACCGCAUACGAUCCACGGAUGAAAGCGGGGGACCUUCGGGCCUCGCGCUAUAGGGUUGGCCGAUGGCUGAUUAGCUAGUUGGUGGGGUAAAGGCCUACCAAGGCGACGAUCAGUAGCUGGUCUGAGAGGACGACCAGCCACACUGGGACUGAGACACGGCCCAGACUCCUACGGGAGGCAGCAGUGGGGAAUUUUGGACAAUGGGCGAAAGCCUGAUCCAGCAAUGCCGCGUGUGUGAAGAAGGCCUUCGGGUUGUAAAGCACUUUUGUCCGGAAAGAAAUCCUUGACUCUAAUACAGUCGGGGGAUGACGGUACCGGAAGAAUAAGCACCGGCUAACUACGUG